This 390-nucleotide ribosomal RNA is filed under the name uncultured bacterium. RNAcentral describes it as "bacterial SSU rRNA". It matches the Rfam family "Bacterial small subunit ribosomal RNA", at positions 28 to 424 of the family's 1533-position model. The record is from RNAcentral.
GACGAACGCUGGCGGCGUGCUUAACACAUGCAAGUCGAACGAUGAACCACUUCGGUGGGGAUUAGUGGCGAACGGGUGAGUAACACGUGGGCAAUCUGCCCUUCACUCUGGGACAAGCCCUGGAAACGGGGUCCAAUACCGGAUAACACUGCCACGGGCAUCUGUGGUGGUUAAAAGCUCCGGCGGUGAAGGAUGAGCCCGCGGCCUAUCAGCUUGUUGGUGAGGUAAUGGCNCACCAAGGCGACGACGGGUAGCCGGCCUGAGAGGGCGACCGGCCACACUGGGACUGAGACACGGCCCAGACUCCUACGGGAGGCAGCAGUGGGGAAUAUUGCACAAUGGGCGAAAGCCUGAUGCAGCGACGCCGCGUGAGGGAUGACGGCCUCGGUU